UUAACUCAAAUUUGUAUGGAGAUGGAAUGUUUGCCUACGUUUGCCGCUAAGGGCGCUGUACCAACUGCAUAGCAAUUUGAUGCUA
Bombyx mori (domestic silkworm) is the source of this 85-nucleotide non-coding RNA. The record is from Rfam. Lineage: Eukaryota; Metazoa; Arthropoda; Insecta; Lepidoptera; Bombycidae.